RNAcentral lists this ribosomal RNA (388 nucleotides) under uncultured Nitrospina sp. RNAcentral describes it as "bacterial SSU rRNA". It matches the Rfam family "Bacterial small subunit ribosomal RNA", at positions 29 to 410 of the family's 1533-position model. The record is from RNAcentral. Lineage: Bacteria; Pseudomonadati; Nitrospinota; Nitrospinia; Nitrospinales; Nitrospinaceae.
ACGAACGCUGGCGGUGUGCUUAACACAUGCAAGUCGAACGAGAAAGUUUCCUUCGGGAAGCUAGUAAAGUGGCGCAAGGGUGAGUAACACGUGAAUAAUCUGCCCUCGAGAUCGGGAUAACCUGAGGAAACUUAGGCUAAUACCGGAUAAGACCACGUCCCGCAAGGGAUGCGGGAAAAGGAGGCUCAACCUCCACUUGGGGAUGAGUUCGCGGACCAUUAGCUUGUUGGUGAGAUAACAGCUCACCAAGGCUACGAUGGUUAACCGGCCUGAGAGGGUGAACGGUCACACUGGAACUGAGACACGGUCCAGACUCCUACGGGAGGCAGCAGCGGGGAAUAUUGCGCAAUGGGCGAAAGCCUGACGCAGCAACGCCGCGUGAUCGAAG